AGCGAACGCUGGCGGCAGGCCUAACACAUGCAAGUCGAACGAACUCUUCGGAGUUAGUGGCGGACGGGUGAGUAACACGUGGGAACGUGCCUUUAGGUUCGGAAUAACUCAGGGAAACUUGUGCUAAUACCGAAUGUGCCCUUCGGGGGAAAGAUUUAUCGCCUUUAGAGCGGCCCGCGUCUGAUUAGCUAGUUGGUGAGGUAAAGGCUCACCAAGGCGACGAUCAGUAGCUGGUCUGAGAGGAUGAUCAGCCACAUUGGGACUGAGACACGGCCCAAACUCCUACGGGAGGCAGCAGUGGGGAAUCUUGGGCAAUGGGCGAAAGCCUGACGCAGCCAUGCCGCGUGAAUGAUGAAGGUCUUAGGAUUGUAAAAUUCUUUCACCGGGGACGAUAAUGACGGUACCCGGAGAAGAAGCCCCGGCUAACUUCGUG
This 433-nucleotide ribosomal RNA is filed under the name uncultured bacterium. Its description in RNAcentral is "partial 16S ribosomal RNA". It matches the Rfam family "Bacterial small subunit ribosomal RNA", at positions 29 to 507 of the family's 1533-position model. The record is from RNAcentral.